AGUUCUAUGGUCUAGUGGUAUGACGUUCCCUUCACAAGCUUAAAAACUGCGGGAAAGGUCCUGGGUUCGAUCCCCAGUAGGACUA
This is a non-coding RNA of Zalaria obscura, 85 nucleotides long. The record is from the annotation of a GenBank genome assembly. Lineage: Eukaryota; Fungi; Ascomycota; Dothideomycetes; Dothideales; Zalariaceae.